This 497-nucleotide ribosomal RNA is filed under the name uncultured bacterium. RNAcentral's name for it is "partial 16S ribosomal RNA". It matches the Rfam family "Bacterial small subunit ribosomal RNA", at positions 28 to 507 of the family's 1533-position model. The record is from RNAcentral.
GACGAACGCUGGCGGCGUGCCUAAUACAUGCAAGUUGAGCGCUGAAGGUUGGUACUUGUACCAACUGGAUGAGCAGCGAACGGGUGAGUAACGCGUGUGGAAUCUGCCUUUGAGCGGGGGACAACAUUUGGAAACGAAUGCUAAUACCGCAUAAAAACUUUAAACACAAUUGUUAAUGUUGAAAUAUGCCAUUGCAUCACUCAAAGAUGAUCCCGCGUUGUAUUAGCUAGUUGGUGAGGUAAAGGCUCACCAAGGCGAUGAUACAUAGCCGACCUGAGAGGGUGAUCGGCCACAUUGGGACUGAGACACGGCCCAAACGCCUACGGGAGGCAGCAGUAGGGAAGCUGCGGCCAUGGACGAAAGUCUGACCGAGAAACGCCGAGUGAGUGAAGAAGGUCUUCGGAUCGUAAAACUCUGUUGGUAGAGAAGAACGUUGGUGAGAGUGGAAAGCUCAUCAAGUGACGGUAACUACCCAGAAAGGGACGGCUAACUACGUG